UGGGGAAUUUUGGACAAUGGGCGAAAGCCUGAUCCAGCAAUGCCGCGUGUGUGAAGAAGGCCUUCGGGUUGUAAAGCGCUUUUUGNCCGGAAAGAAAUCCUUGGCUCUAAUACAGUCGGGGGGAUGACGGUACCGGAAGAAUAAGCACCGGCUAACUACGUGCCAGCAGCCGCGGUAAUACGUAGGGUGCAAGCGUUAAUCGGAAUUACUGGGCGUAAAGCGUGCGCAGGCGGUUUGCUAAGACCGAUGUGAAAUCCCCGGGGCUCAACCUGGGAACUGCAUUGGUGACUGGCAGGCUAGAGUAUGGCAGAGGGGGGUUAGAAUUCCACGUGUAGCAGUGAAAUGCGUAGAGAUGUGGAGGAAUACCGAUGGCGAAGGCAGCCCCCUGGGGCCAAUACUGACGCUCAUGCACGAAAGCGUGGGGAGCAAACAGGAUUAGAUACCCUGGUAGUCCACGCCCUAAACGAUGUCAACUAGUUGUUGGGGAUUCAUUUCCUUAGUAACGUAGCUAACGCGUGAAGUUGACCGCCUGGGGGAGUACGGUCGCAAGAUUAAAA
Molecule: ribosomal RNA, 557 nt
Filed under: uncultured bacterium
Lineage: Bacteria
Description: partial 16S ribosomal RNA
Rfam family: Bacterial small subunit ribosomal RNA
Source: RNAcentral